AUGCAUGUCUAAGUAUAAGCACUUGUACUGUGAAACUGCGAAUGGCUCAUUAAAUCAGUUAUCGUUUAUUUGAUUGUACCUUUUACUACUUGGAUAACCGUGGUAAUUCUAGAGCUAAUACAUGCGAAAAGUCCCGACUUCUGGAAGGGAUGUAUUUAUUAGAUUCAAAACCAAUGCGGGUUCUGCCCGGUUCUUUGGUGAUUCAUAAUAACUUUUCGAAUCGUACGGCCUUGCGCUGGCGAUGUUUCAUUCAAAUUUCUGCCCUAUCAACUGUCGAUGGUAAGGUAUUGGCUUACCAUGGUUACAACGGGUGACGGAGAAUUAGGGUUUGAUUCCGGAGAGGGAGCCUGAGAGACGGCUACCACA
RNAcentral lists this ribosomal RNA (366 nucleotides) under Hormathiidae sp. USNM IZ 1450501. RNAcentral describes it as "SSU rRNA". It matches the Rfam family "Eukaryotic small subunit ribosomal RNA", at positions 51 to 414 of the family's 1831-position model. Lineage: Eukaryota; Metazoa; Cnidaria; Anthozoa; Actiniaria; Hormathiidae. The record is from RNAcentral.